Drosophila obscura is the source of this 525-nucleotide long non-coding RNA. RefSeq lists it as uncharacterized. The transcript has 3 exons. The record is from RefSeq and is a predicted model, not a curated record. Lineage: Eukaryota; Metazoa; Arthropoda; Insecta; Diptera; Drosophilidae.
GCCUUUGAUACCCUUGCAAAUGUAACGUUUCCCUGUUGGAUAUACAUAUGUUCAUAUAUGUAUGCACUAUUCCAACGAUUUUAAUACGAUGGCAUAGGAACAGACAGACUGAUACUCGUGGACGGACAUGAAUUAUCAGAAAUUGUGCAUAUGUACACUAUUAAGGACCCCACACAAACAGCUUUUGUCAGGGAAGCGACAGAGACGGCAAGAGAGAGAGAGAAGGUACAACCGCAAACAGAGUCGCUGCGUCAUUGACGUCGAUAGCGACCGCAGCAGAGGCAACGCGAAACAAUUGCCGGCCAUUGUUGUCGCCGACGUUCGACCACGUCAAUAUUGUCGUUACCCUAACUUAAACCUCAAACAGUCGGCAUAAGCGAACUGAGAUGAUACGCCACAUAUGGUAAAUCAUAUGCGACACUUUCCCUCCACAGUUCCAUUAAAGUGAGCAAUUUAAUGGAAAACGAGAGCUGUGGUUAAAUUUAAAUAUGUAUUACAUUUUUUUAGUAUUAAAUAUUACAAAGA